UUCAUUCUGCUAGCUAUGUGUAACCCAUGUUAAUUUAUUGCAAGCUGGUAAUUCAGCAAAAAUGCCACAUUCUCUGAAUGUGGAUAUAGAUACCAUUCUUUGAAUAGGAUGUAAAAUAUCCUAUAUUACGCAGUAGGUUAAGAGAUUGACACCAGCUGAGGAGAAGCUAUCACUUUCUAAGCAGAUCUUCUCAGUGGAAAUGCUAUUUUUCUUCUACCUUGAAUAAACCGGUCUCUGAGAUGAGUCAGUCCUUCUGAGAAGUACACAGAGCUGUAACUAACACUCUUCCCAAUGUCAGAAACCUACAAAGAAAUCUAUCAGCUAAAACUUAGAGAAGGAGAAGAACAGAGACAGAGACUGGUUCUACAAAAGGCCCUUUGAAGACAGAAAAAUAAGAAAACAUUUGGGAGAAAAUAUUUGCAAACUGCAUUUUUAACGAAGGAUGAGCAUCUCAAAUAUAUAAGAAACACUCAAAACUCAACAAGAAAAACAACCAACCAACCAAAACAAUCCAAACAGAAAGUGGGUGAACUAUGUGGGCUAACAUGUCACUGGAGAAGGUGCCCAGAUGGCAGAUGAGCACGCGAAGUGAUCUCCAACAUCAUCGGCCACUAAGGAAAUGCAAAUUAAGACCAUAAUGAGAUAUCACUGCCUACUUCUCA
This is a long non-coding RNA of Herpailurus yagouaroundi (jaguarundi), 662 nucleotides long. RefSeq lists it as uncharacterized. The record is from RefSeq and is a predicted model, not a curated record. Lineage: Eukaryota; Metazoa; Chordata; Mammalia; Carnivora; Felidae. The transcript has 4 exons.